RNAcentral lists this small RNA (21 nucleotides) under Arabidopsis thaliana (thale cress). Its description in RNAcentral is "ATSL013620". The record is from RNAcentral. Lineage: Eukaryota; Viridiplantae; Streptophyta; Magnoliopsida; Brassicales; Brassicaceae.
UUUUGUUUUUCUUCUCUAUAU